RNAcentral lists this microRNA precursor (205 nucleotides) under Oryza sativa Indica Group (long-grained rice). RNAcentral's name for it is "MIR812 microRNA precursor family". It matches the Rfam family "MIR812 microRNA precursor family". Lineage: Eukaryota; Viridiplantae; Streptophyta; Magnoliopsida; Poales; Poaceae. The record is from Rfam by way of RNAcentral.
AAUAGAUGACGCCGUUGACUUUUUCUCACAUGUUUGACCAUUCGUCUUAUUCAAAAAAUUUACGUAAUUAUAAUUGAUUUGGUUAUGAGUAGUAGUAUCACAUCAUAGUACUUUAAGUGUGAUAUAUAUAUUAUACAUGUACAAAAAAUUUUUGAAUAAGACGAAUGUUCAAACAUGUGAGAAAAAGUCAACGGCGUCAUCUAUU